UUAGCUUCUUGGCCUUUUGGUUAAGAUCAAGUAUAGUAUCUGCUCUUGUUGGUUUAAUAACAACUGCACACAACUUGAGACAUUAAAAGGGUAAUGAUUUUGAGGAAAAGCUCAGGACUUAGGGACAAGGCUGGAUGAGUCUGGAUAUGGCUGACCUGGAGAAAUAAGCUGUCUGUCCCAUUCUAGUCUCCAGACUCACU
Small nuclear RNA from Lepus europaeus (European hare), 200 nucleotides. RefSeq annotates it as U2 spliceosomal RNA. Lineage: Eukaryota; Metazoa; Chordata; Mammalia; Lagomorpha; Leporidae. The transcript has a single exon. The record is from RefSeq and is a predicted model, not a curated record.